Molecule: long non-coding RNA, 1938 nt
Filed under: Strigops habroptila (Kakapo)
Lineage: Eukaryota; Metazoa; Chordata; Aves; Psittaciformes; Psittacidae
Description: lncRNA (ENSSHBG00005012310.1)
Source: RNAcentral
GAAAAAAGAAAAAAAGGACCAAAAUGUAACCAAGAGGCCAUUUCUGAGACGUGGAACUGAUCGAACUCAAUGUUCUCGUUUACUUAACUUUGGACCUUCUUGAGAAAAGUGGGAUUUUUUUCUCUACCUGGACCACGAGGUAGAUCAGGAUGGAAGGCUGAAUUCUCCAGUAGGCUGUGGGGCUUGGUAGCUGGUGAAGAGCAGGCAUCUUUCCUGAGUUGCCAUGCUCUUGCAGAGUUGAUCCAAGGGUUAAAACGUUACAAGAACAGGGUCUUGUCUGAUCCAAGACUAGCAUCUGACUGGCUGAAACCCUCAUGUUGUCUAUGGUCCUAUGUCCAGAUCACCUACUCACACAUGAAUUAUGUUCUGUGUUGCUACAAGUGCUGGAGCUGCAAGCUACCUGUAAAUCUGAACCUGUGCUGGGCCUCCCAACCCUGAAGUGUUCAGAUCUCCACUGGGCAUGGGAACUCUUUAAGUAUUAUAAAGUAGCUUAUUUUUAUUUUCUGAAAGAAAUCUGAAGAGCAGUUCUGGAUCUCCAGUGGAAAGCGCAAUGGAAAAAAGGUUCUCAGGGAAGCUUUUGGAGUUUGCAACUACAGUAUUCCUUUGUCUGUCUUAAAUAUGAGAAUAGCUAUUAUGAAUAGGCCAAUACCAGAUAUUUCAUACGGAAGAAUUCUUUAAUGUGUCAUGGUCCGGUGUAUAUGAUUUUUUGGAAGUCUGUUUGAUGACAGUUCUGGUUCUUUUCAUUAUUGUGAUCACCCUUGCAGCGGCGCAGUACUGCCAGUCCAGAGAUCAUACAUCAAAUGCCAGAGAAAUGGCUGAGAUUGUGAUGAACAGCAAAAAACCAAGAACCAAAAACCAACAAGAAGAGAGAUGUCAAUUGACGGCCAGCAAAGUGCUUACUACCACCAAUCGGUAGUUGAUUUCCUACAGGUAUCAACAAGGCAAUGGGUAUUUUGGGGUUUGGUGUUCUAUGCUUGUGCAAAAUCACAGCACAAGUGCUGUGAAAAGGGAGGAAAAAAGAGUAUUCAGGUAUUGGGUAUUCUUCCAAAGAAGCAUUCUGUAAGCAGCUCGGUCCAUGCAGCCCACUGUGCACUUAAAGAACAACUUGAUGAAUGUCUUUGUGACGCUGCUCUGCAGCACCCCGCAUGCUCUCCCAACGUUCAUUCCCAUCUGGAGCUUGCUAUUCCCCUCCUGGAAAUGCUUUGGAAGCAGAGGGGGGGAAAAGCCCCCUGAGGGGUCCCAGCAUGGGGCACAUCCUGCAUCCCACAUCCCUCCCAGCAGCGGGGCGGGCAGAGCUGGGGUGGGUUUUGCUGAGCCCUCCUAAAGGCAAGACUGUGGUGUCAUUUCAAGCCCAAUCCUGCAGAUAUUUAGCUUUUAGGGUGUAAUCCAUGGUUUGGAGUUGGUGGAAAGCUCCUCAGUGACUGCAGCAGCCGCUCGGUCCGGCCUUGGAGCUCAUGAGUGAUUCAACUCAUGUUGGUUCCCCUGUCGAGCCAACAGGGCAGCUGGGGUGGGUGGGUUUGCUCAUGUCCUUAGGUGUUUGCAGGAUCAGACUCCAUGAGUUCACUUAUUUUAGAACCCAUUCCAAGUGCAAAAAUACAAAAGAAAGGGGAAAAUAAAUAAAUAAUAAUAAUUUGAGGUGUUAAAAACACAACGUUCUUAACAUGUAAAUAGAGUCCAAAUUGAUUGUGACUGCAAUUCAGUUAGUAUUUAAAAGUAGAGAAAUUGCACUUCCUGGAAGAAAGAGAGGGGAAAAACCCAUAAGUAGUUAGUUUAAUUAUCCUGUAAAUUAUUUAAUUUUGGCAAGAUGUAUGUAAUUUAUAUUUACGACACCUUUCUGUUAACUUUUUUUGCUAUUUAUUUAACUUUUUUAUUUAUUAAUUUUCUACUGAUUUGAAAACUGGACACUGCACCAUAGGGAAAAAAAGAAAGGCAAAAAAA